RNAcentral lists this ribosomal RNA (483 nucleotides) under uncultured bacterium. RNAcentral's name for it is "partial 16S ribosomal RNA". It matches the Rfam family "Bacterial small subunit ribosomal RNA", at positions 30 to 506 of the family's 1533-position model. The record is from RNAcentral.
AUUGAACGCUGGCGGCAGGCCUAACACAUGCAAGUCGAGCGGAUGAAGGGAGCUUGCUCCUGGAUUCAGCGGCGGACGGGUGAGUAAUGCCUAGGAAUCUGCCUGGUAGUGGGGGAUAACGUCCGGAAACGGGCGCUAAUACCGCAUACGUCCUGAGGGAGAAAGUGGGGGAUCUUCGGACCUCACGCUAUCAGAUGAGCCUAGGUCGGAUUAGCUAGUUGGUGGGGUAAAGGCCUACCAAGGCGACGAUCCGUAACUGGUCUGAGAGGAUGAUCAGUCACACGGGAAAUGAGACACGGUCCAGACUCCUACGGGGGGCAGCAGGGGGGAAUAUUGGACAAUGGGCGAAACCCUGACCCAGCCACGCCGGGGGUGGGAAGAAGGUCUUCGGAUUGUAAAGCACUUUAAGUUGGGAGGAGGGGCAGUAAGUUAAUACCUUGCUGUUUGGACGUUACCAACAGAAUAAGCACCGGCAAACUUCGU